Molecule: ribosomal RNA, 256 nt
Filed under: uncultured bacterium
Lineage: Bacteria
Description: partial 16S ribosomal RNA
Rfam family: Bacterial small subunit ribosomal RNA
Source: RNAcentral
UACGUAGGGUGCGAGCGUUGUCCGGAAUUAUUGGGCGUAAAGAGCUUGUAGGCGGUUUGUCGCGUCUGCUGUGAAAAUCCGGGACUCAACCCCGGACCUGCAGUGGGGUACGGGCAGACUAGAGUGUGGUAGGGGAGACUGGAAUUCCUGGUGUAGCGGUGAAAUGCGCAGAUAUCAGGAGGAACACCGAUGGCGAAGGCAGGUCUCUGGGCCACUACUGACGCUGGAGAAGCGGAAAGCAUGGGGAGCGAACAGG